GUGCGCUGAGGGGGCUCCUCCUGCUGCCAGGAGAGACGCUCCCUGGACGGGCCAUGCCCGCAGGGACCCUGGCCUGUGAUGGCAGAACACAAGGCACCCUCAGAAGAAGCAGAGGCUCCUCCGCAACAGGGCCAGUCUCGGCUGACUAGGACGGCAGGUCACCUGAGCGCCCGCCCUUGCUCUGCUGAACGGACUCUCCCUUGACUGGAAGCGGCCUCAGGGGACUGGAACUAACAACGUUCACUGAGCUUUUCCAUGGGCCUGGACUGAAUCCACUGGUCUGUGCGUUUCCUCCAGUCGCCUGGGCAGAAGGACAGCUGCGUGGGUCUCAGGCUUUCAGAACAUGCCUGGCCACUGAGGUGACCCAGCUGUGGUGGAGGUGGCAGAUCUGAAGUGACCCUAAGUAAGAACUGGGAAAAUGGAAGUCUCAUUGAAGGGCCGUUAGGGGCCCAGACACAGGAUGGAGCCGGCAGAGGACCUUGCUACACAGGAAUAGCGGCGGCAGGACAUCCUCAGAGAAGCAUUAACAAGAUUUUCUCUCCUUCCCUUCUGCCCAUCCCUGGGGGAAGAUGGAAAGGGGCAGAAGACAGAAAAAAAGAAAAAUUUCCAGGCUCUGGGCCUAACCAGGAUGUGGGAUGCUGGGUGGGGUGGGGGGAGAACAAGUGAGCUGAUGGCUCAGCCCGGGGCUUAAUCAGGAGUCAGAGUCUAGCCCAGGACGGUCUCUGUCCCAGGCAGGACUAGUUGGGGCGUCGCCCUCAGCCCCUGCUCUGGCACUGUCGCUGCCACUUUCUAACUUGAAGUCUCGCACAAUUCAUCCCGCCUCCAGGAAGCUUGGAUUCCUCCCCUGUGGAGUGGGAGCAGGGCGACCUCCCAGUGUGUGUGCAGGGCUGCCCGCAGGGGCCCUCU
Long non-coding RNA from Tupaia belangeri chinensis (Chinese tree shrew), 906 nucleotides. RefSeq lists it as uncharacterized. The transcript has 3 exons. The record is from RefSeq and is a predicted model, not a curated record. NCBI's taxonomy places the organism in Eukaryota, Metazoa, Chordata, Mammalia, Scandentia, Tupaiidae.